RNAcentral lists this ribosomal RNA (482 nucleotides) under uncultured bacterium. RNAcentral's name for it is "partial 16S ribosomal RNA". It matches the Rfam family "Bacterial small subunit ribosomal RNA", at positions 28 to 523 of the family's 1533-position model. The record is from RNAcentral.
GAUGAACGCUGGCGGCGUGCUUAACACAUGCAAGUCGAACGAUGAAGCCCAGCUUGCUGGGUGGAUUAGUGGCGAACGGGUGAGUAACACGUGAGUAACCUGCCCUUAACUCUGGGAUAAGCCUGGGAAACUGGGUCUAAUACCGGAUAGGAGCGUCCACCGCAUGGUGGGUGUUGGAAAGAUUUAUCGGUUUUGGAUGGACUCGCGGCCUAUCAGCUUGUUGGUGAGGUAAUGGCUCACCAAGGCGACGACGGGUAACCGGCCUGAGAGGGUGACCGGCCACACUGGGACUGGGACACGGCCCAGACUCCUACGGGAGGCAGCAGUGGGGAAUAUUGCACAAUGGGCGAAAGCCUGAUGCAGCGACGCCGCGUGAGGGAUGACGGCCUUCGUGUUGUAAACCUCUUUCAGUAAGGAAGAAGCGAAAGUGACGGUACCUGCAGAAGAAGCACCGGCUAACUACGUGCCAGCCGCCGCCGUAA